CAUUCGUCUCCGAUGGUCUAAUCCUUCUUUCUUACUUUGAUGAACUAAACUUCCUGUCGCAUGUAAUUAGAAGUUCGAAGCAAAGACUAAUUAAUAAAUAAAACUACUAUAUAAAUGAUUAAAUGGUGAUUAAUAUUUACAAGAAAUUAAUUGAAGUUGCGAAGAUUGAUCUGCACCUUGGAUAGCUGAGAAAUUUUGAAUUCUGGCUUCUAUAAGCAAGGGACAUGAACAGACUGACAAAACUAUAUAGGCAAUAAGUAAAGUGGAGACAGCUGCAUUUAUUCUUCCGUGGCACCUCGACAUAAUUAUUAUUCCAAUAAGAAAUGGAGAAAGUAUUUGGUUGCAACUAAAACAAUUGAACUACCUAUCCUUUUAUACAAUCACUGAGAAGGAAGGAAAAUCAGAAGUCAAGCUUCGAAUUAAUUGUGCUCGGAAAUGGAAAUGUUCAAGCUUUGAAAUUGAAGUUGUCAAAGGAGAAAAUGGCAUCUGAACUAGGAGAAAAUGGUUUAAUUCUCUAGAAAAUUGAAAUGCAUCCAAUUUUCUUAUGUUUAAGCAGAGAAUGCUAGGUGUAGAUUAAAUUGCAUGUGAACGCUGAAAAAUAUAUUUCUGUCGUGCAUGUUGUGAUGGAAAAGUUCCUUUUUAAUGUAAGACAUGCAAUGCAUUGUUUAAUGCCGAGUCAUUUUGUUCAGUGAAAACAGCUAAAAAUGUAGAAUUAUAUAGAGCUUAGAUGAAGAGCUUUCUGAGAGUGCAAAGAGAUUUCUUUGUGAAAGAGUCCAAAGAAAGGGAGUAUAUGCCAGUGAGCUCUUAGAAAGUUUGGGAGAGCAUUUCCUUGGGUGUUCAGUUUGGGUCUGCGCUAUUUGUAGAGAUAUGAGAGAAUAUGUGUCUUGGGAAAACUGUUUUUCUCGAGAUGUAUAAAAGUACUGGGUGUGUUUGAGUAUUGGGGAAGAUGAGGUUUUGUUACUCAAAUUUGUACUCUAUUAAUUAUUAGUAAAACAAUUGUUCUCUUUUACCUGCGGGGACAUAUGCUUUAUUGUUGAACCAUAUUAAAUUCUUGUGUCUAUUAUUUUCUUAUGAAAAUUUGGUGCUUAUUGAUUUCGGUUUGCGCAAAAGUGGUAUCAAACCAUAAGAAAUGACGCUUCUAGAGCACAACAUCCCUACUAGCAAUUUGUCACCAACUUUUGAUCACAUUAUGUUAUGGUUUAGAAAUCAAUAAAUUCAGCUAUAUAAAUUCUAGAUUUACAUAUAAUUCAUUAAUUUUGAAAGUGCCUCUUGCCAGUAAUAGCGUCUCCUAUUAGGAUCUUACCCAGUUUUCGUAGCAGGAACAAGGAUUUUAGUUUUGCUGGCCCAGUCUUUCUGUGGGGCGAGCGAAAAUCAAGAAGUCACAAAUUUAAGUUUGCUAUGACAUGAAAUAAGUACCCUAAUGCAGAAAUAUUAAGUUAGAGUCCAGAAAAACUAUUAAAUCAUAGGGAUUAUCAAAUUGAUUGUAUAUAAAUAUCAACCACGAUAUUUAUAGCUGAGAAGUUCGCAAAUACUGGCAAGAGCUGCUUUCAUAAUCAACCAUCCAUUUCUCAGCUAUCUGUUGGAGAAUUAACAAAUAAAACACACAAAAAACACACAAUUUUAUUUCUUUAACAACACUCCUCACUAAUUACAACUCUUAUUUUUCACUCUCUACACCUUAGAGAUUUUGCUACUUCACUUCAUAUUUAAACCAAAGGGGAGAGGGGGUAUUUAUACAUGAAAUAAACUAAUCACAACCAUUCAUUUAUUCAACUAAUAAACAAAUCCUCACCAUCCAUUAAAACCUACCACUCACCUACUUCACCAACCACACCUAACACACCUAACACACCUAACACAAAUAAUUCAAACCUCACAAACCAUAC
RNAcentral lists this long non-coding RNA (1886 nucleotides) under Citrus x clementina. RNAcentral's name for it is "Citrus clementina (C. clementina) long non-coding RNA (CCLE_LNC005564)". The record is from RNAcentral. Lineage: Eukaryota; Viridiplantae; Streptophyta; Magnoliopsida; Sapindales; Rutaceae.